Heterocephalus glaber (naked mole-rat) is the source of this 453-nucleotide long non-coding RNA. NCBI's taxonomy places the organism in Eukaryota, Metazoa, Chordata, Mammalia, Rodentia, Bathyergidae. The record is from Ensembl.
GUGCUGCUUUAUUUAGUUAAGCAUCUCUCUCUCCCAGGAAAAUUUUCAGUGAGAAAAGUUUUCUAAAAAUAUCAAGAGAAAAGACUUCAGGAAGUGCACUGCCAACAGUCAUUAUAGAAGGAGACUCUUCUUCCAAAAAAUGACAUUUCUCCUCCUACUACAAUUUCUCUCUAGCUUCCAGCAUGGCAGGAAGCCUCCAAGUCAAGGCCUGCAGGGUUUCCCAUAACCCACUGGUUGAGGAAGAGAAUGGAGCCUUGAUGAGAAACAAAUCAGAAUGUGAUGCUGGAACUAGGCAGAAGUGAACGUUACUACAUCACAUUCCCCAGGAAUCCAUUACAAAGGUUCAUAGCUGAUUUCAGCGCUAUCUGGAGCUCUCAGAACCUCAGCCCCAGGCCCUCUAACAGUGACCUUGUCAUACUUCAGAUGCAUCUCUGUAUGGGCUGCUUUCCAACA